This 307-nucleotide ribosomal RNA is filed under the name uncultured bacterium. Its description in RNAcentral is "bacterial SSU rRNA". It matches the Rfam family "Bacterial small subunit ribosomal RNA", at positions 28 to 334 of the family's 1533-position model. The record is from RNAcentral.
GACGAACGCUGGCGGCGUGCCUAACACAUGCAAGUCGAACGGAGUUAAGUGCUUCGGUAUUUAACUUAGUGGCGGACGGGUGAGUAACGCGUGAGCAACCUGCCUGAUAGAGGGGAAUAACGUCUGGAAACGGACGCUAAUACCGCAUAAAGCAUGAGGGGCGCAUGUUUUUCAUGCCAAAGAUUUAUCGCUAACAGAUGGGCUCGCGUCCGAUUAGGUAGUUGGUGGGGUAACAGCCUACCAAGGCAACGAUCAGUAGCCGGCUUGAGAGAGUGUACGGCCACAUUGGGACUGAGACACGGCCCAG